CUGAUGGCGACCGGCGCACGGGUGCGUAACGCGUAUGCAACCUACCUGUAACAGGGGGAUAACACUGAGAAAUCGGUACUAAUACCGCAUAACACUAUGAGAGGCAUCUCUUGUGGUUGAAAGUUUCGGCGGUUACAGACGGGCAUGCGUUGUAUUAGCUGGUUGGUAAGGUAACGGCUUACCAAGGCGACGAUACAUAGGGGGACUGAGAGGUUAACCCCCCACAUUGGUACUGAGACACGGACCAAACUCCUACGGGAGGCAGCAG
RNAcentral lists this ribosomal RNA (268 nucleotides) under uncultured bacterium. RNAcentral describes it as "partial 16S ribosomal RNA". It matches the Rfam family "Bacterial small subunit ribosomal RNA", at positions 85 to 354 of the family's 1533-position model. The record is from RNAcentral.